Molecule: long non-coding RNA, 133 nt
Organism: Coregonus clupeaformis (lake whitefish)
Lineage: Eukaryota; Metazoa; Chordata; Actinopteri; Salmoniformes; Salmonidae
Exons: 3
Source: RefSeq, a predicted model, not a curated record
GAGACAGAAAUCCACUUCAUCCUUCCAACAGGGAAGCAAGUCCAGUGGAUUUGUACCCUUCCAGUGUCCUACUUCAAAGCUGCUUAGAAAAAUACGCCAUUUGCAAAAUCUGAGGCGCCAUCAUGAUCGUUGU